This is a non-coding RNA of Garciella nitratireducens DSM 15102, 267 nucleotides long. Lineage: Bacteria; Bacillati; Bacillota; Clostridia; Eubacteriales; Eubacteriaceae. The record is from Rfam.
CCGUGCUAGAUGGGGAGGUAGCGGUGCCCUGUAACCUGCAAUCCGCUAUAGCAGGGUUGAAUUCCUAUCCGAGGUUUUGAGCCUUUAGAGCCUGCCUCUAGUAAGUAGUGUUGAAGAUUGGGUCCUACGCAACGGAAAUUCACGAACCCCGUCAGGUCCGGAAGGAAGCAGCGGUAAGUGAACCCUUUCGUGUGCCGUAGGUCAGCCUGGUCAGAGCUAACUGCUAGGGUACCGUCUAAGGACUCAUUGCCAAAGAUAGGUGCACGG